GCUCUCUGAGGAGCUUUCAAUACUUUGGGGUCAAGUUUGAGGCAGUUGUAACUGUACUGAGUUUAGUUUUGCUAAUAAUGGUAUUCUACGUGUGUCAGCCUCGUGUGGACUUCUGUAAUGACUAAUGGAUAUGUUUAUAUCCUGAGCAUUUGCUGUAGGAAUUUUAAAUGCAAUCCCAAAACUCAAGAUUACCUUAUUUGGAGAAAUAUUCGUGUUACUAUGUUUAAAAUUUAAUAGAACCAUAUUUUACCUUUCACUUUGGGACUCGCACAGGAUGUUUGCAGCUCUUGAUAUACAGGAGUGUUAAGGGUCUUCAUAAACAGAAACCGCAAGGAACCUGGGAUCUGACAGCUGUUGGAGGAAUGCCUGUGAGGAAGGAGGAGGAACAGAAGAAUGCUUUGAUGUCUUAAAUGGUACAUCCAAACUUAAGUGAAAUAGAGCUGUGAGGACAUUUUGGGGAGAAGUGACCUAGAUAAGCACUGACUGUUGCAUUCAUCUCUCUUCUUGCUGAUUGUGAUGAUUUCCUGUGCCAUAGCCAUUCAAAGUCUGCCAAAAAAGGUGUGACCUAGUAUAUUCCCAGCUGUGGUGGCCACGCAGAGAGACUCCUGCUUGAGGAAAGGAGAGGGAAGAGUAAAGACGAGUUUGUCUUGCAUCUUGGGUAUCAGGUCAGUAAAAAACAAACAAACAAAAAAAACAACGGGCUUCUUUUGUUCCAGGCCUUGCCUCCUGGAUGGCAUUUUUGAACCCACCCUGGGCCAGAGGGGAGCCCACUUCUUUGAAGACAGAAACACAGGACUGGCAACAUUUACCAUAAGCUGACUGAGCAGCCAUUGGGCCUUGAGUGAACAUUGGUGGUAGCCAGGCAGUACUUGUCUCAGUACUUGCCUCAGGCCUGGGGUGUCGGUGACCACAGGGAGAGCAUCCAUCUGCUUGAGGAAAGGAGAACAAAGAAAAUAAAGGGCUUAAUCUUGCACUUGAUUGCCAGCUCAGCCAUAGUAGAAUACAGCACCAAGUAAAUUCCUAAGGAUCCUGAUUCCAGGUCCUGGCUCCCAGAUGACAUUUUAGGACUUGUCUUGGGCUUAGGGGGAGCUCGUCAUACUGAAGGGAAAAACACAAGCCUGGCUGGAUUUGCCACCAGCUGAAUAAAGAGUGCUUGGGCCUUGAGUGAACAUUGGCAAUAGCCAAGGAGUGGUCACCAUGGACCUUAGGCAAGAAACCCGGUGCCGUGCUGGCUUUGGAUCUGACCCAGCAUAAUCUCACUGGUAUUUUACUUCUUGUCCAUUUACUUUUUAGUUUAUCAUACACACCAUGU
Molecule: long non-coding RNA, 1312 nt
Filed under: Homo sapiens (human)
Lineage: Eukaryota; Metazoa; Chordata; Mammalia; Primates; Hominidae
Description: HSALNT0298299
Source: RNAcentral